GGGGAUAACAUUCGGAAACGGGUGCUAAUACCGCAUAAUAUCUUCUUCCGCAUGGAAGAAGAUUGAAAGACGGCUCUGCUGUCACUUAUAGAUGACCUUGCGGUGCAUUAGUUAGUUGGUGGGGUAACGGCCUACCAAGACGAUGAUGCAUAGCCGACCUGAGAGGGUGAUCGGCCACAUUGGGACUGAGACACGGCCCAAACUAAUACGGGAGGCAGCAGUAGGGAAUCUUCCGCAAUGGGCGAAAGCCUGACGGAGCAAUGCCGCGUGAGUGAAGAAGGCCUUCGGGUCGUAAAACUCUGUUAUAAGAGAAGAACAAAUUGUAGAGUAACUGCUACAGUCUUGACGGUAUCUUAUCAGAAAGCCACGGCUAACUACGUGCCAGCAGCCGCGGUAAUACGUAGGUGGCAAGCGUUGUCCGGAUUUAUUGGGCGUAAAGGGAGCGCAGGUGGUUUCUUAAGUCUGAUGUGAAAGCCCACGGCUUAACCGUGGAGGGUCAUUGGAAACUGGGAAACUUGAGUACAGAAGAGGAAUGUGGAACUCCAUGUGUAGCGGUGGAAUGCGUAGAUAUAUGGAAGAACACCAGUGGCGAAGGCGACAUUCUGGUCUGUUACUGACACUGAGGCUCGAAAGCGUGGGGAGCAAACAGGAUUAGAUACCCUGGUAGUCCACGCCGUAAACGAUGAGUGCUA
Molecule: ribosomal RNA, 692 nt
Filed under: Aerococcus sp. B06_42
Lineage: Bacteria; Bacillati; Bacillota; Bacilli; Lactobacillales; Aerococcaceae
Description: bacterial SSU rRNA
Rfam family: Bacterial small subunit ribosomal RNA
Source: RNAcentral